This 207-nucleotide ribosomal RNA is filed under the name uncultured bacterium. Its description in RNAcentral is "partial 16S ribosomal RNA". It matches the Rfam family "Bacterial small subunit ribosomal RNA", at positions 568 to 774 of the family's 1533-position model. The record is from RNAcentral.
UGCGUAGGUGGUUAUGUGUGUCGGAUGUGAAAGCCCAGGGCUCAACCCUGGAAGUGCAUCCGAAACUGCAAAACUAGAGUACAGGAGGGGAGAGCGGAAUUCUUGGUGUAGCGGUGAAAUGCGUUGAUAUCAAGAAGAACAUCGGAGGCGAAGGCGGCUCUCUGGAAUGUAACUGACACUGAGGCACGAAAGUUGGGGGAGCGAAGA